Molecule: non-coding RNA, 79 nt
Organism: Podarcis lilfordi (Lilford's wall lizard)
Lineage: Eukaryota; Metazoa; Chordata; Lepidosauria; Squamata; Lacertidae
Source: the annotation of a GenBank genome assembly
GCCAAACUCAGGAUGGCUGAGUCAGUAAAGCACAAGACUUUUAAUCUCAGGGUUGUGAGUUCAAACCCCACAAUGGGCA